CUUGCUCUCGGGUGACGAGUGGCGGACGGGUGAGUAAUGUCUGGGAAACUUGCCUGAUGGAGGGGGAUAACUACUGGAAACGGUAGCUAAUACCGCAUAAUGUCGCAAGACCAAAGAGGGGGACCUUCGGGCCUCUUGCCAUCAGAUGUGCCCAGAUGGGAUUAGCUAGUAGGUGGGGUAACGGCUCACCUAGGCGACGAUCCCUAGCUGGUCUGAGAGGAUGACCAGCCACACUGGAACUGAGACACGGUCCAGACUCCUACGGGAGGCAGCAGUGGGGAAUAUUGCACAAUGGGCGCAAGCCUGAUGCAGCCAUGCCGCGUGUAUGAAGAAGGCCUUCGGGUUGUAAAGUACUUUCAGCGGGGAGGAAGGUGUUGUGGUUAAUAACCACAGCAAUUGACGUUACCCGCAGAAGAAGCACCGGCUAACUCCGUGCCAGCAGCCGCGGUAAUACGGAGGGUGCAAGCGUUAAUCGGAAUUACUGGGCGUAAAGCGCACGCAGGCGGUCUGUCAAGUCGGAUGUGAAAUCCCCGGGCUCAACCUGGGAACUGCAUUCGAAACUGGCAGGCUGGAGUCUUGUAGAGGGGGGUAGAAUUCCAGGUGUAGCGGUGAAAUGCGUAGAGAUCUGGAGGAAUACCGGUGGCGAAGGCGGCCCCCUGGACAAAGACUGACGCUCAGGUGCGAAAGCGUGGGGAGCAAACAGGUUAUUAGAUACCCUGGUAGUCCACGCCGUAAACGAUGUCGAUUUGGAGGUUGUGCCCUUGAGGCGUGGCUUCCGGAGCUAACGCGUUAAAUCGACCGCCUGGGGAGUACGGCCGCAAGGUUAAAACUCAAAUGAAUUGACGGGGGCCCGCACAAGCGGUGGAGCAUGUGGUUUAAUUCGAUGCAACGCGAAGAACCUUACCUGGUCUUGACAUCCACAGAACUUUCCAGAGAUGGAUUGGUGCCUUCGGGAACUGUGAGACAGGUGCUGCAUGGCUGUCGUCAGCUCGUGUUGUGAAAUGUUGGGUUAAGUCCCGCAACGAGCGCAACCCUUAUCCUUUGUUGCCAGCGGUUAGGCCGGGAACUCAAAGGAGACUGCCAGUGAUAAACUGGAGGAAGGUGGGGAUGACGUCAAGUCAUCAUGGCCCUUACGACCAGGGCUACACACGUGCUACAAUGGCGCAUACAAAGAGAAGCGACCUCGCGAGAGCAAGCGGACCUCAUAAAGUGCGUCGUAGUCCGGAUUGGAGUCUGCAACUCGACUCCAUGAAGUCGGAAUCGCUAGUAAUCGUAGAUCAGAAUGCUACGGUGAAUACGUUCCCGGGCCUUGUACACACCGCCCGUCACACCAUGGGAGUGGGUUGCAAAAGAAGUAGGUAGCUUAACCUUCGGGAGGGCGCUACCACUUGGAUCAGGGG
This 1400-nucleotide ribosomal RNA is filed under the name Kosakonia oryzendophytica. RNAcentral's name for it is "bacterial SSU rRNA". It matches the Rfam family "Bacterial small subunit ribosomal RNA". Lineage: Bacteria; Pseudomonadati; Pseudomonadota; Gammaproteobacteria; Enterobacterales; Enterobacteriaceae. The record is from RNAcentral.